GGGAGUGUAGCUCAACCUGGCUAGAGCAUCUGACUCUUAAUCAGAGGGUUGGGGGUUCAAAUCCCCUCACUCCCG
RNAcentral lists this transfer RNA (75 nucleotides) under Nanobdellota archaeon. RNAcentral's name for it is "tRNA-Lys". It matches the Rfam family "tRNA". Rfam says of the family: Transfer RNA (tRNA) molecules are approximately 80 nucleotides in length. Their secondary structure includes four short double-helical elements and three loops (D, anti-codon, and T loops). The record is from RNAcentral. RNAcentral also lists the same sequence under 1 other name. Lineage: Archaea; Nanobdellati; Nanobdellota.